Non-coding RNA from Myotis brandtii (Brandt's bat), 72 nucleotides. Lineage: Eukaryota; Metazoa; Chordata; Mammalia; Chiroptera; Vespertilionidae. The record is from Rfam.
CUUGGGGGGAUGGUCCCUCAGCCCGGAUUGCGAGAGGGCGCAGGCUAGGCCAAGGGACCCUACCAGUGCACA